RNAcentral lists this ribosomal RNA (480 nucleotides) under uncultured bacterium. RNAcentral's name for it is "partial 16S ribosomal RNA". It matches the Rfam family "Bacterial small subunit ribosomal RNA", at positions 28 to 506 of the family's 1533-position model. The record is from RNAcentral.
GAUGAACGCUGGCGGCGUGCUUAACACAUGCAGGUCGAACGAAGCAUUUAAGACAGAUUACUUCGGUUUGAAGUCUUUUAUGACUGAGUGGCGGACGGGUGAGUAACGCGUGGGUAACCUGCCUCAUACAGGGGGAUAGCAGCUGGAAACGGCUGGUAAUACCGCAUAAGCGCACAGUACCACAUGGUACAGUGUGAAAAACUCCGGUGGUAUGAGAUGGACCCGCGUCUGAUUAGCUUGUUGGCGGGGUAACGGCCCACCAAGGCGACGAUCAGUAGCCGACCUGAGAGGGUGACCGGCCACAUUGGGACUGAGACACGGCCCAGACUCCUACGGGAGGCAGCAGUGGGGAAUAUUGCACAAUGGAGGAAACUCUGAUGCAGCGACGCCGCGUGAGUGAAGAAGUAGUUCGCUAUGUAAAGCUCUAUCAGCAGGGAAGAUAGUGACGGUACCUGACUAAGAAGCUCCGGCUAAAUACGU